GACGUAGGGGACGAGCGUUGUCCGGAUUUAUUGGGCGUAAAGCGUGCGUAGGCGGCUGCGCAAGUCGGUUGUGAAACCCCGGGGCUCAACCCCGGAACUGCAUCCGAUACUGCGUGGCUAGAGGUAGGUAGGGGAGAUCGGAAUUCCUGGUGUAGCGGUGAAAUGCGCAGAUAUCAGGAGGAACACCGGUGGCGAAGGCGGAUCUCUGGGCCUUACCUGACGCUCAGGCACGAAAGCUAGGGGAGCGAACAGG
RNAcentral lists this ribosomal RNA (253 nucleotides) under uncultured bacterium. RNAcentral's name for it is "partial 16S ribosomal RNA". It matches the Rfam family "Bacterial small subunit ribosomal RNA", at positions 524 to 776 of the family's 1533-position model. The record is from RNAcentral.